UCCCAGCCUAGAGCAGGUCGGGUCAGAUCGAGUAGCUUGAAACGGUGCCGUUUUGAGCAUCUUUAAGCCAUGCCAAAACGACGCCGUUUUGGAUAGCUAUAAAUAGGCCUCUUUCUUUCAAAAAAAUAUUUUAACAUCUCUUUUAAGAAAAACCUUUUUCCUUUUAAAAGAACCUCUCAAGCCUCUCCUUUCUCUCCGUGACCGGCCAAGCUCCGGUCGAUCGUCAGUCCCCUCCGUCGCCACGCACUGUCAUCAUCCACAGCUACCGAAAGGUAAAAAGUUUCCUUUUUUAAUAUUAUUUUUUUUGAAAAAAACACCAGAUCUGGAUCUAAAUCCAGAUUUUAAAAGGUUUUAAUCUUUGUUUUCUUUUUAUUUAAACUUAAAAUCCAUUUUUGGUUAUUAUCCCUCUUUUUUAAGAAAAAAAAGGCUAGAUCUGAUUUCCCUUUUUUGUUCUUUCAUCUGUUUUCAUUUUAGUUUAAAUCUAUUCUUCUUUUUUAAUAUUUUCUAAUCUGUCUUAUUCGAAUUGGAAUGACAUCAAUGAGAUUACGACGAUGAUAGUGGCUUGGAGGGGCUCCACUCGUGGUUUCAUCGGUUUCUUUUUAUUAAUUAUUAAUUAUAUUAUAAUUAUUUAUUAUGCUUGAAAAACGUUUAGAAAUAAAUGUACUAUAAAUAACAAUUAUAAUAUACACAAGUAAAUAAAUAUACUUACAAAUACAUUUAUUACCUUAAGAAGAAAGCUUGAACGCUUGAUGAUCUGAUAUUAAUUGCUUUGAAUGCUUCCUACGAAUACUGAUAUGGAAAAUCUGUUUUGAAUUGAUUUCUUUUUUUAAAAAAUUGUAACCCCUUACAAACUGUUUGAUUAGGCACUUAUAGCCUGGUUUACAAUCAUUAUAAUUUGUUUUUUUCAUCUAAAUGCCAGUCUUUUCUCUUUGCAGGUUCGGCUUGGCAAUGGCGAUGGUGGCAGUUCAAGUUGCUAGUGGUGUGGUGUAACUUGGUUGUUGACCUGGCGAUUCCUAGUUAGAAGGGAAGGAGGUGGUAGCAGCACAAGUUGGGCUGCAGUAGUUUAGCUGCCAGAUUAGGGUUUGACUUUAGGUUUAGUUUAUUAGGCUUAUUGGGUUGUAGAAGUUUGGGUAAGGGUUAUUGUAAUUGGGUUGGGAUUUUGGUGCGUAAUUGGGUUAAAGUUUGUAAUUAGGCUUAAUUGGAUCCUGUAAUGUAUAUUGGACUUUGAAUUUGUAAUAUUGGGACAUUAUUAAUUUAAAUUUAGAAUAAUUUUAAAUUUUAAAACAAAUUUAAACUUAAAAGCAACGCACCGCCCGUCGCCCGAUUACCGACCCGCAAUAGGGGCCUCUAGCCCUCAAAGGCACAUGUCGUAGGUGUAAUGACCGCGACGGACAUUUGGCGGCUGCCUUCUUGGAGCGUAAUUCCCACCGAGCGGCGAGUAAAAUCAUUUGCAAAUGACUUAAAUAUGGGAUGGGGUAUUGUAAGAGGCAGAGUGGCCUUGCUGCCAUGAUCCACUAAGAUUCAGCCCUUUGUCGCUUCGAUUCGUCCCUCCCCUCCUCGAUCCAAGGUGAACAGCUUCUGGUCAAUGGAACAAUGUAGGCAUGGGAAGUCGACAGAAUGGAUCCGUAACCUCGAAAAAAGGAUUGGCUCUAAGGGCUGGGCACGGGGUCCCAGUCCCGAACCCGUUGGUUGCUGGUGCACUGCUCGAGCUACUCCCGCUGCGAGAGCGGGUCAUCGCGUGUCGAUCGGGGACAGAUUGGGAACGACUCCUUGGGGGGCCUUCCUUGGGCGAUGAAUAGUUGACUCAUUACUGGUACAGACAAGGGGAAUCAGACUGUUUAAUUGAAACAAAGCAUUGCGAUGGUCCCUGCGGAUGCUCACGCAAUGUGAUUUCUACCCAAUGCUCUGAAUCUCAAAGUGAAGAAAUUCAACCAAGUGCGGGUAAACGGCCAAAUGCAACGAUCCACUAUGACUCUCUUAAGUUAGCCAAAUGCCUCGUCAUCUAAUUAGUGACGUGCAUGAAUAGAUUAACGAGAUUCCCACUAUCCUUGUCUACUAUCCAGUGAAACCACAGCCAAGGGAAUGGGCUUAGCAGAAUCAGCAGGGACAGAAGAACCUGUUGAGCCUGAUUGUCCAACUUUGUGAAAUGACUUGAGAGGUGUAGGAUAAGUGCAAGCUCUUGGGCAAAAUUGAAAUACCACUACUUUUAACGUUAUUUUACUUAUUUCAUGAAUCAGAGGCCGGGCAUGACCCCUCUUUUUGGACUCAAGGUCAACUUUGGUCGAUCAAUUCGGGUGGAAGACAUUGUCAGGUGAGGAGUUUAGCUGGGGUGGCACAUCUGUUAAAAGAUAAUGCUAGUGUCUUAAGAUGAGUUCAACGAGAAUAGAAAUCUCGUAUGGAACAAAAGGGUAAUAGCUUGUUUGAUUUUGAUUUCCAGUACGAAAAUGAAUCGUGAAAGCGUGGCCUAUCAAUCCUUUAGACCUUCGAAAUUUGAAGGUAAAGGUGUCAGAAAAGUUACCACAGGGAUAACUGGCUUGUUGUAGCCAAGCGUUCAUAGCGACGUCGCUUUUUGAUCCUUUGAUGUUAGCUCUUCCUAUCAUUGUGAAGAAGAAUUCACCAAGUGUUGGAUUGUUCACCCACCAAUAGGGAAAGUGAGCUGGGUUUAGACCAUCGUGAGACAGGUUAGUUUUACCCUAUUGAUGGUCGCGUCAUAAUAGUAAUUCAACCUAGUACGAGAGGAACUAUUGAUUCGUACAAUUGGUCAUCGCGCUUGGUUGAAAAGCUAGUGGCGCAAAGCUACCGUACGCUAUAUUAUGACUGAACGCCUCUGAGUCAAAAUUCGGGCUAAAAGCGACGCACGCGCCCGUCGCCCAAUUACCGACCCACAAGGGCACGUGUCGUAGGUGCAGCGACCGCGGCGGACAAGUCGUGGCUGCCUCCUUGGAGCGUAAUUCCCACUGAGCGACGGGUAGAAUCCUUUGCAGACGACUUGAAUAUGCGAUGGGGUAUUGUAAGUGGUAGAGUGGCCUUGCUGCACGAUCCACUGAGAUUCAGCCCUUUAUCGCUUCGAUUCGUCCCUCCCCUUCCU
This 3088-nucleotide ribosomal RNA is filed under the name Gossypioides kirkii. RNAcentral describes it as "eukaryotic LSU rRNA". The stretch from base 1585 to 3073 matches the Rfam family "Eukaryotic large subunit ribosomal RNA", at positions 1889 to 3399 of the family's 3401-position model. Lineage: Eukaryota; Viridiplantae; Streptophyta; Magnoliopsida; Malvales; Malvaceae. The record is from RNAcentral.